Long non-coding RNA from Paramacrobiotus metropolitanus, 445 nucleotides. RefSeq lists it as uncharacterized. The transcript has 3 exons. NCBI's taxonomy places the organism in Eukaryota, Metazoa, Tardigrada, Eutardigrada, Parachela, Macrobiotidae. The record is from RefSeq and is a predicted model, not a curated record.
GCGCCAAGCGCAUUUGCUUGGGGCGACCUAAUGGAGUGAACCCGAGCCUGCCGGCUUCCGCACUUGCCCAAACAGCUCCUGCGCCACGAAGUGCAACGCCAUGGCUGGAUGCGCUGGGAGGACACAGUGCCGAUAUGGCAUUUAUGCGGGAGCGUGGACGUGAUGUCGCUGUCGGUCCUGUUCAGCAGCCAGCGCCUCAACUGUUGGGUGGUUUUGUCGCACCGAAUGGAUGCGUUGUGCAGCGUCCGAUUGUGGAUAUGCACCCGAACAAGAACCGUGGCAGACGCAAGCUGUAGUGCGAUGUACAUGCGUGGGUCGGAGCGUGGAUAUGCGGAUUCAUCAUCGUUGUUUGUUAAUGCAUCGGUUGUGGUUAUGUCAUGUGUUUUUGUUGUACGCGUGGUGACAGGGAUGAUUUGUUGUUUUUAGUUAUGCGAGCGGUACCGGG